RNAcentral lists this transfer RNA (59 nucleotides) under Bulinus ugandae. RNAcentral's name for it is "tRNA-Tyr". The record is from RNAcentral. Lineage: Eukaryota; Metazoa; Mollusca; Gastropoda; Planorbidae.
UUGAAUACUAAAUUUUAGUGUAGGAUUGUAAAUCUUAUUUUGGAGUUUAUCCUCUUUUA